Long non-coding RNA from Gallus gallus (chicken), 13769 nucleotides. RefSeq lists it as uncharacterized. NCBI's taxonomy places the organism in Eukaryota, Metazoa, Chordata, Aves, Galliformes, Phasianidae. The transcript has 2 exons. The record is from RefSeq and is a predicted model, not a curated record.
GCGGGCGGAGAUGGCGUCCUGCGGCGGCGGCGGGCCGGGGCGCGCGACGCGCAUGCGCGGCGGUCAGCCUCCCGGCGCCAUUUUAUGUGAGGCGCUUUCCCAUUUUAGGCCGCGGCAGGGAGGCGGCGGGAGUGGUCGGCGGUUCUCCUGCGGGGGGUUGGGGCGGGGAGCCGCGGGGCUGAGCCCUGGCAGCGGACCCUCACGGAGGCGGCAGGCCUGGCGGCGAGCCCCUUCCAGUGCUCCGAGGAGGCAGCGCGAUGCUUCGUCUUCGUAGCCCCUCGAGUGAUGGCGGUGACGGUCGCUCCCGCUCGGCCGCGAUGGCGGAGCGCGCCCGGCCGGCCCCGGAAGUGAAGCGGUGACGGAGGGUCCCUCUGGCGGCGCUCGGCGGAACCGCUCGGGCCGGGAAGGCGCUGAGGCGGCUCGUUGGGCAUCAGCAGAAAAAUUCUGUCCAUCUGGGCGUAGCUGUUCUUGGCACAGGAAGUUCUUGGCACAUCGCUCAUCUAACUACUAUGAGCAAAAGGAUUAUGUUUUUCUGCAUAGUAAGUCAGCAGGAGAGGUGACUUGUUCUUUUAUGGCGUUUAAAGUACCUAAGAAUGUCAAGCUAAGCAGCACCCCGAGUAGCGUAAACAUUCACACACAACUUGGGCAUGAUGUGUGCUGUAAUGGAAUGAAAGAGCUGUACUCUUGGCAAGGCAGGGACUACUUCUAAUUUUGGUUUAAACUAACUUUUCAUUGAAACGUGAACUUCAGAACUCAGGGCUGCACUGUGAUACUGAAACACUGCAUGUCAGUGUUAAAUAUCUGAGCAUUAAAUCUACAUUGUCUGUAUCAGAUCCUUGCAGCUGUGCUUCUUCCUUCCCAGUGUGAUCUCUUAUAGGGAAAUGUUUGUCACGAGGGGGGGAAGAGCAGCAGAACUCCCUGUUGGAAACCACUCUGUCAUGAACCACUCUGUCAUCUUUACAAAACUAACAUUCAAUACUAAGUUAUGAGACAAACAUUCCUGAAAUAUUAACUACUGUAAUUCUUGUUCUAACAUGGAGCUCUGUGUGUAAUGAAAUACUGUGUUACUUUGUCAGGCUUCAGGAGUUCAGGAGACUUCAUGCUGCUUUUAUUUCCUGUUUCUAAUGUUUACUUCUGCCUCUUCAGACGUUCUUCCCCUUGCUGUUUCUAUUCUGCCAGUAAAUAUGGAAUCUGUUUCCAGUGGCUGAGCAAACAUCUGCAUGUAGAAUCUGCUUGCAUGGAGCUGCUGUUUCUGUACAAAUGAACAUCAGGUGUGUGCUUGCUAUGGAACUUUACUAUCUCACUCUGCAAUCUGCUCAUUGCAGUGUGUCAGGUGGUUGUGAAGUCUUUAGUACUCCAGUGUAAAGGGGGAAAAAACAACAAAACCCAAGAAAUGUGGAGUUGACAACAGAAAGUUUGGUCAGUAACAGUGCGAUUAUAAAAAUGAAAGGCUAAACCUUCCUUCCUACUCAGUGCUUUACUGCUGAGUCUCAGCAGUAAGUUCCUUUGUGUUAUUUAUUUAUAUAUAAAUAGAGGUAGCAAUAAAAAGUGUGUAUUUAAAAAGAAACAGAAACCAUCCCGCUUAGUGCUUACUUCCCCCAGCACUGUCAUCGUAUCCCAGUCCUUGUGUUCAGAAAAAUGGAUGCUGUUAUUGAACAUAACUGUGUGUGCUGCUUCUGGCACUUCCUGGAGUGUUGCUGGAGGAAGUGUAGCAACCCUUAAGAAACUGAAUUAGUGCGUUUUUCUUCCCUGAAUUUUACUAGUAGCUUCGUAAACCAGGUAUGGGUAUGUUUUGCAGCAGUGCAGUAAUGCAUAUUUAUAAUGUAGUGCUUUGCAUGAGGAGAACCAAGCUUCCCGUUAGCUCUGCACGUGACAGUAGUGCUCACUCUGCAGUUGCUUCUUCCACUAACACAAGUGAAAUGAUGCAUGCUUAGCUUGUCUGAGUAGCUCUUGGUGGUGGUUUUGGAGAACUCCAGGGAGGAGCAGUCCUCCUCGUACUGAAUAGAUGAUGUCCAAUCCAACUGCACUUCCUAACUACAGCUCUGUGUGCUUUAAGACAUGUGCAGGAACAGCAGGGCAUCAACUGAUCUGUUAUUAGCAGCCUCGUAUGAGAGAAGAGGUUUUAGUUCUCAGCUGAUAGAACUGCUGCUCUCAUCCUAGCCUGUGUUAGCCCAGGGGAGGUGUUUUGCCAUUUGCCAUGCCAUCUUUUAAUUCCAGCCAUAAAACAUUCUCUUUUUGUUAAGAUUGAUAUGGUAUUCUCACGGUUGGGCAUAAUGAGAGCUGUAUUCAAAGAGACUUAUUUUUAUUUUUCCUGGUAUGGAAUUUUCUGUUAUGAGAGCAGCUGUUGAAGGGUGCCCGUUGCUGGAGUUGACCAAACACUGGAUUUUAAAGCCAGUUUUUGCAUACUUUGUUGUGUGCUGUUAAAGCAUCUGAAUCUAAAAGUUUGCCUAGCAAAGGCUCUAAUUACAGAUCCCUUUAGUUUCCUGUAUUACUUGUCAUGACCACACAUUCCCCUUGAUGACAACAGUGAGGCUGUUACAACUAUACGAGGGAAGUGGGUGCAAACCUUUUGUCCUCGCUGUGCUGCUGGAAAGCAGCAGUGUGGGACUACAGAAGCUAUAGUUCAGUAUUUGCAGUUUCAGCGUGUGGUGAAAGAUUUUGACUGGUGUUAUCCUGCAGGAAACCUGUGAUACCAGAUCAGGUGUACACAUAGACUGAGUGGGUGUCCAAUGCUGUUCCUAUCUAAGGUGCUCACUGAUGCCAGUUGGAUAACUAAAACGAGUUGUUUCUUUUUUUGAGAAAGCAACUUCAGUUGGAUUAUUGUCUCAGUACUCGUGUUAGAAGAUCCAGAGCAGUGGGGUUUCUAUUGUGUUCUUAAGCUAAUGGUCUGAGUGAUUUCUGGUGGGCAACCUGUAGAGUCUUUGCUGAUGCUAAAUUAUGCUCGUAUCUUGGAAGGCUUUUUUUCCUUCAUAAUACUUCCUCUUGCAGAAGUAGCUACAUUUUAAAAGUAUGAAAGGCAAUGUAGAGCCACGUUUCCAUAUACACUGGAUUUCAGAGACACUGACAACUGGCUUGCUCAUUGGAUUUUUACUAAGGUGCGUAUUUCCCCAUUUGUAGAGAAAGAAAAUACUGUUCUAAUGGUGAUGCUGAGUCUUUGGACAUGGGUUGCCCACCAGCACAGCUGUCACUUUCAAGCUUGUCAGUGCUGAUAAGGUGUUAAUUAAUAUCAUGGAUGGUCAAGAGGUGCAGGUUGUAGAGCAGCAUCACCCAGCUGAAUGUGGGCAGAGACUGAGCCUGCUGAAAGCAGUGUGUGUACCACUAUUAGCAUGCAGCCCAGCACAAGGUAGCAAAACUACUUCUGCAAGCAAGGAUUUUCAGCAAAAGAAAACUUGUGAGGGCAGUAGUUACGUUCUUUCUUCUAGGGCUUUUACUUGUCUAAAUUACUUCAAUCACUUACAGUUAAUUUACUUUUCAGCCUCAGCCAACGAGACUGCAGUUCAUCAGUAUUGAUUAUUUUUGAAGGCAUUAAUGCCCUCAGUCUAAUGAUUUAAAUGUUAGUAGCUAUAAACAGCCACCGUUAGCAAGAACGUACAGCUUAGCUGGUGACUGCAUCCUAACUCUUUCCUACUUUUAAGCCUUCUUUUCAAACUUACUUUUUAUUUCUGUAUUUUGUUUGCUGGCUGUUAUUACAGGUAGUUAAUUCCCUGCCCACGUGGGAAGUAGCUGACCAGCUGGCACUGUUAGCAUCCAGGCUGUCAAUUAGUUGCAAGCCUGCACUGCUCCCAGGAGGUUUGUAUUUUCAGGGAUGUGGGUUUUUUUUCCUGUUAGGAGUUGCAGAUCAUCUGUGUGGUGCAGUACUGCUACAGCUGCACUGCAAACAGAGCCACUGUUAUAAGCUGUGUUCUAUCGAUUUCCAGAACGAAACAGCAAGUCUUCCUAGCAAGUUUUAACUGUUCUGAAUCAAUGAAAGGCAUCUUUUAUCAGGGGGCAGCAGUUUCUUCCUCGCAGGCAGCAAAACGGGGUGACAAACUGGUAUGGGAGUAUUGUUCCAACUCUAAUUUGGCUGGGGAAUGUAGUUGCUUGUUAAACUGACUCUCCUAUUGGAAACACAUGAAGCUAUGCUUUGAUUCCACUUCCCGACACAGUAUUUCAGAUUUCUGCUAUUCCUGGAACAUAUAGGAAUGAAUCUGGGGAAAAACAGCUUCCGAAAGUUGUGCUCUUUGUGGAGCACAGAUACACAGAGCACAACUUCAGCUCUCAUUCUAUGUAAGCACACUGCUGAAGUCAUCUAAUGUUGCUGGAACCUGUUAAUGUGUCUCAGUCUUGCCCCAAAUGACAGCAGCAGAUUCCUGCUUUUCUAAAGAUCUUGCAGAAAGGACAUGUUGUACUUUCAAUUUUUUUUUCUGGUUUUAAUGUAGGAAUUGCUGGGUUUUUUUGGUAGGUGUUUGGGAUGGAUCGGCUUCUGUGUGCAUUUACUACAACUUAACCUCCUGUUAGCAUAACCUGUGCUAAUCUGAGUGGUUUUUGGACUCGCAGGCUGUACAUGUCAUAAAAUGUGGUCUAAUUUUAUGCACAAGUAAACCACCCCAUAUUUGAUCUAAUCUUUUUAUUUGGCUUGUCUUACUAUGUCAAUUAAAAAGGUAUCUUUUGUGGGUAGUUCUUAGUUUACCUUUAGGAGAAACUUCAGGGGAUUUAACUUUUCCCUGUAUCUGCUGACAUGCAUGUGUUUGUAGUCCAAACUAUGCAAGGCUGCUGUCUGCUUUAUUCUAGUUGUCCAUUUUUGGUUUGCACAGCAAUCCUAAGAACCAUUUUUAAACAACAGCUUCAGAGUCCUUUAAUAGCUAGCAGUAUGCUGAAGAUGAAAGAGUGCUGCAUCUGGAAAUGAGAGACUUAGUUUGAGCUCAGUUGUAGAUCCUGUGUUCUCAAAUACUGUCAUGCAUUUACUAGCCAGACAGUAAGGCUCCACCCUUACCUUUUCUAUAGCCUGUUCCCUGCAACUCUGUGUCCUUGGAAAUAAGGGAUGGCAAGCUCAUCUAGUAGGGAAAGGUAGAGGCAGUAAAUGUCUCCAAAUAUCUGUCCUUUGUUAGGUAAAGGUAACUUCAUGCACGUAACUUGAAAAACUGGUGUGUGGAGUAAAAACUGGUCAUCCUUUUAGAGCUGUGCAACAGGAAUAGAAGGAGGGGGAACAAACAGUCUCUUUGCUGUGUUUUUGGUGGUGGUAUGCACUCAAAAUCCUAUUUUUUGAAAUUCUGCACUCUGGGGUUACAAUUAUCAUUCAACAAUAUAUGUUAAGCAGUUCACUGUUUUCUGUACCCUUCUCUUGUUAACAGUUAAAUCUUAAGGAAAAGCACCAAUAUGUGCAGUUAUAUCAAAGCCCCUUUCUUAGAGAUGACCAGGGCUGCACAGCCAAAUAGUAUCUCAAGUGUUAUUGCACCCACAUGGGCAGUGGAACUUGCAGAGAAGGGAGGCUUUUAACCUUAGGCCAUCAUGCUAUUUUUGGUGAUGAGAAGUGAUAAAUGACCUAUGCCUGGCAUUGCUCGGAUCUGCUUGGAAUUCAUUGUUUGAGCUGCUUCCUUUCUGAGUCAGCACCAACUACAGAUGAGUAGUAUUUAUUGUGGAGCUAUCCUUACAUCUAUCUGUCAUACCAGAAACCUUAUGUGUGUGUUACUUGUCAUAUUCUAACAGCUCAAUCUUAACAUAAUUUUAUCAGUAGUAACAUAACUUUGAAUGAAGAUAUUAUCCAAAAUCCUGUAAAAACAGUGCAGUCUGUGGAAAUGGAUUACUCUGAUGCUGCAGUUUAAAUGCGAUUUGUUUUUUGACCACUGCAAGUAGAGCUGCAAGUUCCCAAAGUAGUCAUGGAGACGAAUGUAAACUAGAUAUGGGAGUAUUGUUAGAUUUGUCACCUGAGGCUCACCUUAGUCCCCUUAAUUUUCUGGAACAACACCUCUGUGUGUGGACAUAGUGAGUAAAUAAUUGUAACAGGGAACGCGGCAUACCUGGCUGUACAUCACAUCAGAGCAGUGACUCAGCAGCUGCUGAGUAACUAUCAGCAGGUGAGCGAGACCUGGAGAGGAAGGAUUCCUCUACAUUCUACCCUUCUUUGUUGUUGGAUCUGUGUAUUUCUAAUCCUUUCUGUGGUGGAAGGAUGGCUUUAAGCUAAGAGGUAAACAAUUGUAUAGACCAGCUUUCUUCCAGUGUUCCAUUAGAGCAUGUACUUUGGGUCUCAAGCAAUGGUAUUUGCCUUUAAUACUUUGAAGUUUUAUUCCAGCACAGCAAGAACUACAGUUGUGCAUUCCAAGUGGGUAUGUGACUUUCUGUUCUAUUACGUAUUCCCAUAAAUGGCCAGAGCCCAGACUAAGUAGGUUACUUGUUAAGCCAGAAGCAAGAAAUGCUGCCAUGGUAAGGGCUAAUUAUGCCUUUCUGGUAUCUUCAAAACUAAAACCUCCCAGUACUCUUGGCAGAAAUAAUAAAAAUGAAUGUUAAGAAUCACCCCUUGCUGAAAUCAGAGAUUCAGAAACUUUCUGCCUUGCUAAGGGCAUGUUUGUUAUCCUUGCAAUAUACUUUUGCAUUUCAAUGUUAAACUCAACUUAAAAACAACCAUUUCCAGGCCAACCAUAGAAGCUCCCUUCUUCAGAGAAGGGCAUCCAAGCCCUAUUUCUGCAGGCAGGCACUGCUGGUUUAACUGGCUCUGGGAGCCUUUGGAGGCCACUCUUAGACUGCUGGUUUUGGUCUAUUGAGUUUAUCACUGAGCCUGCAACUGUUCCAAUCAGCUCUGAAUAGAGGCAUAGUCACCUGGUGUGUUAAAAGGUGGGAGUAUGUGGCUACUUUGCUUUAGGUAACAGCUCUUCCAGGCCUUCUGUGCUGCAGAGGCUGAAUGUGUGUACUUUCUCAGGCAUGCCCUGGGUGUGAAGCUGCAGGAGGCUGAUGGAAGCUUUCCGAUCAACAGCUGACCCAGUACCUCUGACACCUAGAUACUGUUUAAGCCUGAAGUGUAAGGAAGUAUCUAGAAUUACAGCUAGACUUGCCCUUCUCUCUUAACCCAGUAACAUAACUUGUAAGACUGUUACAUUUCCUGUACCCAGUCCUAAAUGGAAGGAUUAGAAAAGUGUAGCUGCUUUAGAAGGACAACUCCUUAUUGUCACUUAGCAGUUUAUCAGCAAGGUUUCGGUUUGGAAUCAAGGAGUCAUGUUGUUGCAUUAAAGCAAGUGGAAGAUCAGUCCUCAGCUUUAGGCUGCAAUUAGAUUACUAACUGGCUUUUACUGACUCAGUAGAGCUGAAUUGGCAAUAAGCUUCAGUAGUAAAUUCAGACUGAAUGCAACACAAAACUAAAGCCUGACUCAGGUACCAUUGCUAUACUGUUGCCUCAGGGGACAGCACUCAAGGAAGCUGUUCAUCAGUCAUGAUUAAUCUUACUUCAGGGAGGCCUGAUAGAGUUGUAGCAGUUUGACAGCUGUGCUUAGCUGGAAAGGCAAGAGUUCCAUGUGGCCUGACUCUAGCCCAGGCUUAAGCCUGAGUCAGUCAUUAAGCACUGACAGAGACCCAUUUAUCUCAAUUUCCUUUGCUUUGCCACCAAGAAGAAACAGAACCUGUAUCCUAUAAUCUCAUUAGGAAAGAGACUGCAGAAGUAUGGGAGCUUUUUUAAAAAGUAAAAAAAAACAUUAAAACUAAAGAGAGGGAGUGUUUUUUCUUUAAGGGCUGCUCAUUACUAAUAAUAUGCAUUACUAAAGCAAUUGGUUUGUUAAGAAAGCAUGCAGUUCAGACUAAAGAUGCCCAUUAGAAUUUUAGUUAUGUGCAAAGACCUCCAUUUUGAGUCUGAACUGACAGACAGAUGAGUUUGGUACCUCGAGUUUCAAGAUUUGUAAGUGAUUUAGGCUAAAUGCUGUCUGUUUUCCUAAGAGCUGUGAAAAGAAACCAUGAAAGAUUCUUUUUAGCUCCUAGGAAGGUCAGCAAUGGAUUCGGAACUGAUUUACAGAACUACAGCAGAGAAGCUGUUAGUAAAUGUAAAGCUGAGAUGUGUUAAGCUAUAUUACUGGAGUGAAAAACAGCAAAAAGUAAACAGUUCAGCUCUGCAAGUUAAUUCCAAGUAGUCCUUGUGUUACUUUUCAUUAAUCCUAUUCUGGGCUUAAUACUCCAAAUUAAAAGAGUUUUCCUGGAGGCUGGUUGAAGUUGUCAGCUGCAUGUAUCACACUAAGUUGUAAAGGAGCUGGCUAUCUACUCUGCCCAGAAUUGGAAACUACCACUGUGACAAGUGAGAAUAAGGACAGUGGCUGGUUAAUCCAGGAUCAGCUGUAAACAAGAGACCUGUCAGAGCCCUAAGCAGCUGGCUUGGCUGUGUCUAGCCUGGCUCAAAGCUUCUGCUGUAGUAAGCAGCAGCUACACCAGAAUGAUCACACCUUCAGUGACUGCUUUGAUAUAUAGUACAGUUUAGAAUACAGGUGCAUUCUUGAUAAUGUCAAUCCUACCUUAUUUUGAAAUAAAAGCUAACAGACAGUAAAAUGGAAAAUUUAUUAGUGCAAGUUGGUCACUCAGUUUUUUCCAGCAAGUACAGAGGAGAUCCCAUGGUUAAUACGCUAUAAACAAACCUGUACUAAGUCAAACUUGUCUUGAAGUAACAAUGUGUUACAUAUUUUCAUCAUCUGAUUCAUCUUCCUCUUUCAAAGACUCCUAUUUAGAAAAAAAAAGUUUAAUUAAAAAAGGGAGUUUUGCUGUAGUUUUACAACUUUCUCCACCUACACAAAGGCUGCUAUUCAGCAGGCCUGGUUUCUACUUCAGAAUUGAGAACUGGGCACCACUGCUGCUUUUAAAGCAAAUUAAAGCUGUCAGCUGCUGGAGGAGCAGCUUUUCCAGCUGGUUACCUUUAAAAAAGGUAUUUUAGUUAACAUGACUUACUGCAUUCCCCAUUCACUUACAUAACUAUUGAAGAGUUAAUACCUUUAUUUCUGAAGGAGAAAUGAGAGGUGGACAGGCCUGCUGCCAUGCCCUGUUUUAAAAGAAUGAACUAUCUCUGGAUUACAUGGAGAGACCUUCACAAUUCUCUCAGCAGGAGAUAUCCUAAGUACAAGUGAUUUGUGUAACUAUGCCUUUUCUAGUCACUGCAGUGCUACAAUCCUACUUCAUUCAUUCUAUUCCAGCCUUGUCAAGAGCAGCACUGAGAUGACACCAGUGAUGUCAGAACUUACCUUGGCGUAUUUUUCUGCUUCUUCCCUUAUGUCUUUGGGAACAAUUUCAUGUUUUCCAUUGGUUACUGCAAAUAAAGAGUACCUAUUAGUCAGAAUUCACACAACACUGUGUGAUAAGUAAAACUCUGCUUCUGCACAUUCUCUUAAAUACAGAAAAUGAGCAGCUUUUCAUACUGUUUACAGAAAACUUAGAAAUGCAUUACUUUCUCCAACCCAGCUGAGUUCCAACUCAAAAGCUUUAUCCUUUACUUCGUCAUGAACGAUGUAGAUUCUGGAAAGAAUGGAGAGGGUGGAGAUUAGAACAGAUUUGGUGACAGGCAAAGUACACUUUCUUCCUUUCACAGAUUUCUUACACGUAACUGAUCCUUUCCCCCUGUUUUCUCUUCAAUCUCUCCCUCUAUGUUCAUCUCCCUUUAUGUUCAUCCCAUUUCAAGAGAAAAAGACCAUAUCAGAGAAUAUUGUGGAGUUAAGCAUUACUAGAACAGUAUAUUGCAUGAUUACAGAUAAGAUGCAAGUUACCCAUGUAGGUGAGAUGGUGAGUAACCCUAUACAGAACAUCACCUUUACAAUAAGUGUUAUUUAAGAUUCCAGUACUGUGGAACCAAGGCUAUGUCAUCACUGCCUGCUUCUGCUGAAUUAGUCACAGCAUGGCAGGAACACCCUGCCUUUCCGUCAGUCUUAUUGCAGCUUAUACUUGAGGGUAAAUCUGAACACCAUAAUAUCUUCUAAUGUGCAACAUAGAGCUCUCCAUCCUGUCUGCUAUGCCUACAACAGCUUACAGCCUUCCUUGUGAGGGUGGUAUUCCUUCAAAAAGACUUAAGUUUAGCAUACAAAACUAUUUCUAGCCAGCAUAGGAAAUCUGGGGACAGUAGAAGGAAGGAUACCUUCACUGAAAAAGUGCUUUUCAUUCACAUUUGAUAAAGGCGUUGUGAAACAAAGUUAGCAAUGGUGUCUAAAGAAAUACUGUAUGCAUGCUCUGUCCCUGUUAAGACUAGACUUGAUCAUUAUCAAGUCCAUCUACAGGUCUUAGUUAAGUGCUAAGCUGUUCACAGGCUUUUCAGCAACAAUAUGAUUUCUUCAAGGGCUUGAAAUAGCUCUUGGCCAUUAUUUUAGGAUUAAGAAAUGAUUAAAACGUUUGGUAUCUUGCUGAGUGCCACUAGGUCUAGGGUUAACAUGUAAGAAAACAGAACUACCUCAAAUUACUGCUAAGUUUUGAGCUGAAGCAGAAUUGAAGAACGGAAGGUUUCAAAGCAUUGGAAGACUUGUGCCUCCUUUGUGCACUUUCAGAAGUGUUUUGAGGUCCUUGUUAGGUUUCAAGAACAGAGAGCCCACACAUUCUUUCCUUUAGUAGCAAACAUGAUAGCCUCUGACACAGACUCAUAAACAAACUUGCAUGCUGCAACACCAUUGAUGGAAACAUUUAUUACUUCUUUAUGACCUCUAAGGAACAGCCAUAAAAGGCUGGAGAUUAUUUCUGCAGCUGCAUAAUAUUAGAUCUGUGACAAGUGCAGAAGUAUCCCUGAAAGCAUUAAUUAUUGUAGAUAGCUAAAAGGAUACCUGUAUUUAUUUGAAGAGAUCAUAGAAUGCCUUGGGCUGGAAGGGACCUCAAGGAUCAUGAAGCUCCAACCCCCCGCUGCAGGCAGGGCCACCAACCUCCCCAUUUAAUACCAGCCCAGGCUGCCCAGGGCCCCAUCCAACCUGGCCUGGAACACCUCCAGGGAUGGACAGGGCAUCCACAGCCUCUCUGGGCAGCUGUUCCAGCACCUCACCACUCUCAGAGUAAAGAACUUCCCCCUGACAUCCAACCUAAAUCUUCCCUCCAAGUAUUUUUCAAGAUGAGUACCAGCCAAAUUAUAUUCUACAUUAGCAGAAGCCUUCCUGGUAUCUUUCCCCCCCUUUAAUAGUACACAACUUACUAAAUGAUGUGGUUUUGUCCUUAAGUACACUAUACUCAGAGUUCCAGUAAUGAAAAUCAACAUGCUGAAGACUUUCCCCCAUCUAUCUCUGGCUUUAUAUAUAUACUUGAAAACCAGUGACCCUAUUCAGACAGUUCAAGCAUUAAUUCACCACAGCUGUAAGUCACAGACAGAGCAGUUAAGAUUAUAAUGCUUAUUUUUUGCAUCUUUUGCCAUUUCUCAGUACUGAGUAGCGUGUCCCAUCUCACAAGACAAAUGUUAAUAGAACACCAUACUACAGCCAGCACGAGCACUCAUCUACAGAAGUGAAACCUGGUACCUAACGCAAAGGGAACAGUGUCAGUUUGAAGCCCUAACAAGCUCACCAGUACACAUUUUUGCUGAGUUGGAGAAACACAUUGGAGACUUACAUUUUCGCAACCUCUUUGACAACGUCACGGCAAGUCAUUUCCUUCAUCUGCACACAGAAAACAGAACAUCCUGUUUUGCAUUUGGCCAGCAAACAACGAGCUGGAGUGGAACAGAAUUCGUUCUCCACAAAAACAUACCUGUCAUUAUUGAUUAGACCAGCAUAUUUUACACCAAGCUUAGAGUAGAAUUCAUUAGCUCCAUAUAGUUUACCAUCUCAGAUUCUCAACCAGUUUUCAAAGCCAUAGCAUGGAAGUUAGUGGUGAAGGACAGCAGCUCUUUGUUCAUGCUGAGUCUGACAGCACUUCCUAUGUGUGUAAGGCACACAGCCAAGUAAGCGGUGGGCCAGAGGGAAAUGAAACCUGCCUGCUUAGGUAGAUGUGCUGUCGCAUUUGCAUCCCAAGAAGUUUCCUAAACAGACAGGGACACACUGUCACAGCCGUAACAUUUGUGACUCAAUCCGUAAUGCAGCACUGACUUCUAUUUACACGUAUAACUUGUGUCACACAAACACAACUAUGUGUAUUUACACACAUGAAGUUCAUAGUGGAAUAGGAAAACCCAAAGGUCUUUUACUGUCAUGCAUGUUUACAAAACAGAGCUUUAAUUAUAUUUUGUCAUUAUUCUUUUCCCAUCCUAGUUAAUUUUGCAGAAAGUAAUGGGAAAUACUGUAAUGGUUUAUCUCAGGAGUUAAUUACAAUUAUGUCCACAUAUCAAAGUUUUAGACAGUAUCUGAAAAUAACAUGAGAAGCACUGUAGAAGAGAUGAAAAGAUUCAUGUAUGCUCCGCAUGACAGAAAAUAUCCAGUGUUUGCAUAACAUGCAACAGAUGUGAUCAGUGCAGUGUACCCCAGUGGCAGUAUAAGCUACAUGUGCAGGUUUCACAUACUGCAUCCCCUCCCACAUACAGCAUCUGCGCUGCAGUACCUGUCAGACAGGUUUCAAGAUGAUAUUCUCACCUCUUUCUUUCCAUCUACAGUCAUCUUUCACAAGACAGAAUCACAGCUAAUAGGCUGCUAUAAGCCAUCACAGAAUCAGAGAAUCCUAGAAUGGCCUGGGUUGAAAAGGACCACAAUGCUCAUUGAGUUACAGCCUCCUGCCAUGAGCAGGGUCGCCAACCAGCAGACCAGGCUGCCCAGAGCCACAUCCAGCCUGGCCUUGAAUGCCUGCAGGGAUGGGGCAUCCACAGCCUCCUUGGGCAACCUGUUCAGUGCGUCACCACCCCCUGGGUAAAAAACUUCCUCCUCAUAUCCAACCUAAACCUCCCCUGUCUCAGUUCAAGACCACUCCCCCUUGUCCUGUCACUAUCCAGCCUCAUCAACAGUCAUCAUCACCCCACAAAUGCAUUUGCACUUCUUGUCUUCUUCCCAUUUACAUUUUGGCAUUUGGUCAGAAAUUCACCUGAACAAAAUCAACUCUGACCCAGAACCUGUCCAGCCCACAGUUAACAAGAAGCAUCAGCACACAAGACUGUGCUUGCUUCAUGCUGCUCUGACAUCACCACACCGAAGGCAUUCUGCAAGCAAGCCAUGACAGAUGUCAGUGCAGCUGUGCUGUAUGGCACACCCCUGUUCUCAUCUACUGAACUUUACAGGCUUUACUAUGAAGUUCAAGGACUACAAAUACUAUAGCUCUACAAAAAAAAUAGGCAAUAAAAAGUUUUUGGAAAUCCAAGAACUGCAGAGAAAACAUUUGUUGGUAAAUCAGAUCUUACUCAACACGGUAUCUUUAUGUCAAUUUGCACACAUGGAAACAGAAAUGAUGACUUCUCAAAUGCCAAGAUCCCAGUAUCAAGAUCAGGUGAUCUUGUAGGAUUCCUACUUUUCAUUUGGUGUUCAGGCAUCUGAUCAGAUUCAAGACUUAGAAUAUUCUAAGACUCAGUUAAUUUAACUUCUCCCAUGAUUUUUCAGUUGUGAUACCCCACCACCACCAACGGACUACCCUUAGAAGUCUACUGGAUGAACUGAGCCUUUCAGUGCACAGCUGUGGCAUACAUUUGUAGGUGAAAGCUGUAAGUAAGGUGCAAAGCAGAGUGUAAAGUAUGCUGGUACACAAAGCUCCCCCUUUUAAACACGUGUGCUUGCUAUGGACUACACAUUGCCCAGGGUCAAGAUGCCAGAAAUACUGCUACUACAGAGACAAAGACAACACAUAAGGAAAUACUUCUCUUUUUCUUGUACUUUAUGUAUUUAAGGCAUCCAAAAAGGUAACGUCAUAAUGUAGAAAUAUCUGUCCUGAAAGCAACACAAUAAAACUGAAACACCCUA